This 116-nucleotide ribosomal RNA is filed under the name Acidimicrobiia bacterium. The record is from RNAcentral. Lineage: Bacteria; Bacillati; Actinomycetota; Acidimicrobiia.
UCCGGUGGCAAUAGCGGCAGGGAACCACCCGUUCCCAUUCCGAACACGGAAGUUAAGCCUGCCAGCGCCGAUGGUACUUGGGGUUGUACCCCUGGGAGAGUAGGACACCGCCGGAC